Molecule: long non-coding RNA, 566 nt
Organism: Exaiptasia diaphana
Lineage: Eukaryota; Metazoa; Cnidaria; Anthozoa; Actiniaria; Aiptasiidae
Exons: 2
Source: RefSeq, a predicted model, not a curated record
GAUCACAUCUGCAUCACGUGACUGAGCCAUUGCUUGAUUUGGCGCUCAAAUUCAAUUCAAACCGUUUCUCAGUUGUGAACCCGUCUUUUCUUCUUUUUGUGUGUGUGUAUUCGAGCAUUAAAGCUUGAAAUUGAAUUGAAAAUAUAUAAGUGAGUGUCCUUAAGAAGAUUAAGAAGAUGUCCGAUGUGACAACAGAGCUGGAAGAUCUGAUUUAAAGCAGCAAUCGAAAUCACAACGCUGGUUGAUGGCUGAUGUCGUUUGAUUUGGAUAUUUACGGUUAGAUGGGAGAUGCAUGACAUGCAAAAAAUUCUCUUCUGGAAGAUGGRUUGACAGUCACAGAUGAGUUUUACUUAAUUUGUAGCAUUCGAAUGUAGAAUUCAUUAUCUGAUACAAUUUUUGUAAGACUUGUAACUUGUAGAUUUCCAGUUGUAAAAUUCAYGUCGAUCAACAUUUUUAUACUGUAUUAGUUUCCAUAUCAAAUAAUCCAUUUUCAAGUUAUCUGGCAUAAAUCAAAGCACUGCAAUGAUUUUUGAAAUUAGUUACAGAGAAUAAAUUGUUUGACCUAA